GAAAAUAGCGGUGGACAUUUGAUAUACUAGAUGACCCGUUGCGCCGAUCGCGCAAAAAGCAUUGGCCAACCGAUUCUUGAAACCAUGUGUAUGUGAUAGCGGUAUCAUGAUAAAUGAAGAGGAAAAUAAUGACAUUAUUUAGCAUACAUAGGUUUCAUAAAGCAAGGCAUAGCAGGAUCACAACACAAGCAAAUAGGAAUUUGGCGUUUAUACAUAUUGUUCUAAGAGAACUCAAUACUGACACAGUGUUGAAGUCUCUCAUGAGCAUAAGCAAAUGGAAACAUGUGCUGACAUAUAACGUUAUAAGACAACCCAUUGUUGAUACAUAGUAGUUUAAGAAGUCUACAAUAGAUUAUUUACAAUGAGCAAAGUAUAUAGUAAGAGAUGCAGCAUAUAGAUUGUUGGAGUUAUAAAGCAAUGAUCAUCAGGCAGAGUCAUCAUUGCAUGCGCCAUCGGUAUUGAAAAGCGGGUUGUCAUUGCCUAAAGAAGAGAUUUCUUUGAUAUCACCGUCAAGGCUCUAAUAACACUUGUUUGUCAGCUGGAGAUCAUACUUUGACUGUGUCAUUGUGUCACUAAGACGAUCAUCAACAUAUCUUGUCUCAAAAUAUGAUUUACAUCGUUGUCUUUUGAUGUUGAUCCGGAUGUAAAGUUGUUAUCUGCUUGCUGGUCUUGUUGUGUUGUUUUAUUUCUUCUGAUUUUUCUAACAGCUACCCUUGCACAUGCAUUUUUCUGUUGCUCUAUCUGAUAAUAGUUAUAGUCAACAAGCACCUUCUACUUGCUGGUUUCCAUGCAUUCUAGUUAUCUGUUUGCUAGUCUUGUUGUGUUGUUUUAUUUCUUCUGAUUUUUCUAACAGCUACCCUUGCACAUGCAUUUUUCUGUUGCUCUAUCUGAUAAUAGUUAUAGUCAACAAGCACCUUCUACUCGCUGGUUUCCAUGCAUUCAAUGGCCAGAUCGGCUACAUGGUUCUUUGAUGUUUCCCCAUCCUCACAUACAGGGCUUGACAGCUUAAUCCGGCGUGCUGAAGCAUGUAAACGCUCUUUUGUACGGUGAAAUUCAACCUGUGUUCUAUAUCCACCCUCCAGAAGAAUAAGAUACAGAAAAUGCAACAAAAAACCUCAAGUGUGGGUCUGUUUGAAAUUCGGAUAUUUUGCAUAGACCUUCUUUAUGAAUCUCCAAGGAAUCAAAUAUAAAUGGUGAGAAGGAUAUCAGGAUUGUCCUAGUAGAGAUGGAAUCCGAAUAGAAGUAAGCCGUGACUCCUUGCUUCCAUUUCUGCAUUUCACUCGUAACAGAGGCUUUGAAAACAUAUAUCCUUAGCUUAUUCAGGAAAUGAUAGCAUGAUGAGAUUCAUUGUGUAAGCACAUGUAUGUACAUUUAAACAAACAGAAGAUUAAGAAAGCGGAACAUGCAACAAAAAAAGCUUUCAAAAA
This is a long non-coding RNA of Hordeum vulgare subsp. vulgare (domesticated barley), 1427 nucleotides long. RefSeq lists it as uncharacterized. Lineage: Eukaryota; Viridiplantae; Streptophyta; Magnoliopsida; Poales; Poaceae. The transcript is spliced from 2 exons. The record is from RefSeq and is a predicted model, not a curated record.